Schistosoma haematobium is the source of this 45-nucleotide non-coding RNA. The record is from Rfam. NCBI's taxonomy places the organism in Eukaryota, Metazoa, Platyhelminthes, Trematoda, Strigeidida, Schistosomatidae.
AUCCAUUUGACGAGUCCUAAGUAGGACAAAACGCGGGUCCUGGAU